This 497-nucleotide ribosomal RNA is filed under the name uncultured bacterium. RNAcentral describes it as "partial 16S ribosomal RNA". It matches the Rfam family "Bacterial small subunit ribosomal RNA", at positions 29 to 507 of the family's 1533-position model. The record is from RNAcentral.
AAUGAACGCUGGCGGCGUGCCUAAUACAUGCAAGUCGAGCGAACGGACGAGAAGCUUGCUUCUCUGAUGUUAGCGGCGGACGGGUGAGUAACACGUGGAUAACCUACCUAUAAGACUGGGAUAACUUCGGGAAACCGUAGCUAAUACCGGAUAAUAUUUUGAACCGCAUGGUUCAAAAGUGAAAGACGGUCUUGCUGUCACUUAUAGAUGGAUCCGCGCUGCAUUAGCUAGUUGGUAAGGUAACGGCUUACCAAGGCAACGAUGCAUAGCCGACCUGAGAGGGUGAUCGGCCACACUGGAACUGAGACACGGUCCAGACUCCUACGGGAGGCAGCAGUAGGGAAUCUUCCGCAAUGGGCGAAAGCCUGACGGAGCAACGCCGCGUGAGUGAUGAAGGUCUUCGGAUCGUAAAACUCUGUUAUUAGGGAAGAACAUAUGUGUAAGUGACUGUGCACAUCUUGACGGUACCUAAUCAGAAAGCCACGGCUAACUACGUG